UUUCCUCCUAUCAACUUUGCGGUCUGUUUAACUUCUCCACUGCUAAAGACCAAAGUUCAGAGCAUAGUUCCAACUUUAUAGUGGUCGACUCCCUUCAUUCAUGUGAACUUUCCUCAGAGAAGGCUGCAAAAAAAGCCAAGUAUCACACCUGUCACAAAAAUUCUUCGAGUCUUUCCAUUGAGUUCUUUAAGCAGAGCGGUUGGAGUGAUGCACAAGUCAUGAAACUUAUCCGGAAGUCACCGCUGUUGCUGCGUACUAAGGUAGAGACUGCCCUGAAGCCCAGAAUGAGAUCUUUGAAGGACAUGGGAUUUUCUGACACUGAAAUAGUUCAGCUGGUUUCAUCAUGUCCAUCUGUACUCCUUUUACGUGAUAUCCAACCAAAGAUCGACUUCUGGAGGUCACUACUUGGUUCUAAUGAGAGGUUACUGAAUGCCUCUAGGAGGAACAUGUUUCUACUUGGUUCUAGCAUGGAUCGGAAGAUAGAACCUAAUGUAUCUCUCUUAAGGGAAUGUGGCAUCAGUGACAAACGCAUCGUGUAUAUGGUGAUGACAACGCCGGCCAUUAUGGGUCGAUCAAACAAAUAUAUGAAGGAAGCUAUCAAAUUAGUUAAGGAGUUGGGUGUGCCAUGUAACUGUAGAAUGUUCCCUUAUGCACUUAGUAUGGUCACCGGCAUGAGCCGAUCCAGGUUUUAUGAUACCUUUGCAACCCUGAUGAACUUUGGGUUCUCCCUGCAAGACAUCAUAGCUGCAUUCAGGAAGCAUCCAACCAUUUGGUAUUUGUCGAAGAAGAACAUAUGUGACAAGAUGACUUUCCUGUUGAAGGAAGCUGGUUGUGAGCUGACAUAUAUCAUUUCCCAUCCUGUGAUUCUUGCAUACAGCUUGGAGAAGAGGUUGAAACCUCGAUAUGCAAUUCUGAAUUUUCUUGAGCAGAAUAAAUUGCUGGAUAAAGUAUAUAGCCUGAUGUCCGUGAUAAUGCUAUCGGAAAAGAAGUUCCAAAAUAAAUUUCUUUUCCUGCUUCGCGAGGAGAAAUCUAUUGCUCUAUAUGAUUCCUAUUUGAAAUCUGUUGCUCAAUAGGAUUCCUAUGUUGCUGCUGGGCAUGGAAAGCACCAUGUUGUUUGGGAAAAUUAGGAUUGCAUGUGCUUCCUCAGACAAAGUGUCAACUUAUUGCACACUUAUUUAAUCAUGUUAAAUUUGUGACAAUUUAAAUUCUCCAAGGAGCUUCUUUUCUUUUAUUCUUUGGUACAACAAAAGAUACGGAUUCUUUUAUGCAGAAAUAUAGUGAACCAACGGGGAGAAGUCUUACUUAAGAAAGAUAUAAAGGUAACUAAAAUGUUUCAACUCUGUCAGCUAUCUGUGUCAACUUGGCAUCAGUCGUAUUAAUUUAGAUGAUUAAGAACUUGUUAAUUAUGUGAGUAUGAAUAGGGACUAAUAUAUGAUAGUAAAGAGUUAAUUGUGUGAGGGCUUUCUUUGUCAGAAUCCCAUCACCUCUCCACCGGCUCUAAAUUACAUCUCUAUUUAUAUGGAAUGAAACCUCUAUUGUUACAUGUUGUUAAUCAUGCACUAAUAUAUGAUAGUUAAGUGUGAUUUAUUGAAGAUAUCGAUUUACUAUAUACUAUUGUUGAAAAAUGAACCCACGAGAGUAAUACCUUUCGAUUUAUUGUUGGAGCGCACUAACGAAUAUUCAGUUAUGCAAAGAUGAUUAUUAUAAUAUGAUGAUUGAAUUUUGUGUAUACUAUGGUACAUUAGUGCAUGUGGCAAUUAUGAGAUUUAUUAGAUAGUAUCAACAUGCACUAUUGUAAGAGGCCCCGUGAGAUCAACGUGCACUAUUGUGAGAUUUAUUAUAUAGUAUCAACUGUCACCUCUCUCUCCCUCUCUCUCUCUCUUUCUCAGCCCGUGACUGCAUGCAUGCAUCCCAAUAUUCGUUCUAGUCAUCGUUCUAGUCAUAUCCAGACAUACUCACACAUUAAGAAUUUAAGAGUCAUCGGUUCAUCUCAAGCUUGCUUCUUAAUGUUCAAUUUAAUGCACUAAGCAAUAGAUAUGGUUUAAGGUAACAACACUCUCUCGAGUGAAGUGAACGGGUCUCGGCGCCCCCCUGAUUCAAAUCAGAGAGGACUAUAUUGGAUCUGAGCACAACAUAAGUCACUGGAUCUGGUUCGAUGGAACCAAAUGAAGGACUCUCCUCUCUCACACACAACUAUAUCAAUGGCCACGCGUCCAAUGAGAAGACUCGUGGAAACCUAAUCAGCCACCGGCGGCACCGUCUUCCUCUCCAUCCGCGAAUGGCGGCGGCAGCAAUGUCUUCCUCAGCGGGCUCAUCGUUGGUAUCUUUCUCCUCCUCCUCCUCCUCCUCAUCCUUUGCCGUCGCCCACUCUGCCCCAACCGCCUCCCUCCAUCUUCCCGCCCCCACCUUCGCCGUAGCCCCCCCGCGACCGGCGUCUGCCCCUGCCUCUUCCUUUCCCCUCGUCGUAGCCGUCUUACCCCUUCCUUCCUGCGCCGGCGUUUUCCCUUCUCCUCCCUACGUCGGCGUCUUCUUUCAUUGUAUCAUCCUUUCACCCCCGCAGCGUCUUCUCCCCCCUUCGCUUCGCUGCAGCCGCUUGAUAAGACCCUAAGGUUUUAUCAGGGAAAAAAUUGGGAGAAAAGGGGACGAUCACUUCGAGAUGAUCGGCCUCCUUGAUCACUUCGAGGGGAUCGUCGACGGGAACUUGUCUUCGUGCCCGGCACCCAGUGUGCAGCUGUUUGUUCAACAUUCUAAAGUUUUUGUUUUUCUCAUUUAUCUCUUUUCUCUUAUGCACGCAAAGUGUUCGCUGAAUGGCUUUUAAAGCUUUUCUUUUUGUGGGACGUCGGGACUUGUCCGUUGUUUAUUCUUCGAACUAAUCAACUUUUUCUUAUGCACGCAAGGUGUUCGCUGACCUUUGCGGACACAUAUCACAAGGGCACGUCAUGACUUUGGCAAUCCCAAUUAAGUCCAAGAAGUUGACGCAACGGCGCUUUGCGACUUAGGCAACUCAAGCCAAAUUUGUGUCUUGGCCGCAAGGGUGCCUCACGACUUAGGCAAUUCCAGUUAAGUCCGUGACAAGGCGACGGUGAAGAAGGAGGCAACGAGGGUCACGGUUGGGAUGUGUUGGCCGGGAGCAGUGGCGGUGGCGGUUGCUGGCCGAAGAUGCAAGGCUGACCCUGUUUUGGUCGCCGCGAGGAGGAGAGGUCGAGCGGCUGCGGUUGCGAUUGCGACCCAAGGGGGGGCGGGCGACGGUGGAGAAGGAGGCAGCGAGGUUCACGACUGGGAGGUGGGCGACGGUCAUCGUUGGCCGGGAACUUGCUGUGGUGGAGAGGGGAAAGAGGGAUGCUCUGUUUCUAUCGCACCACAGCAGGAGCCACUGGCGAUGUCGAAGGAUCGCGAGCGGUUGAGGAGAAGGCUGGCAACGGUGGUGGCUCGGGUGGGAGGUGACGGGCGACGGUGGACUCUGGCCGGGGAGCGGGGCUGUGGUGGGAUGGGACAUUGGCAGCGUCGUCUCCUGGCAGCGGUGGUGGCUUGGGUGGGAGGCAACAGGCGAUGGUGGACUCCGGCCGGGAAGCAGGGCGGUGGUGGUAGCGGCGGUGGGGUUGGUUGGAAGUAGGGAAAGUAUGAGCCCUUUCCACCAGCGACAGUGGUGGAGGAGAGGGGAAGCAGGGGUUCUCGGUUGUGCGUGGCUGCGCCCCCUUUUUUUUUUUUUAUGAUAACUACAACGAGGACUCCGAGGAUCGCUGCUCUGAUACCAAAUGAUAAGACCCUAGGGUUUUAUUAUGGAAAAAAAGGGAGAAAAGGGGAUGAUCACUUCGAGGGGAUCGACCUCCUAGGGUUUGUCAAAAGACUUAAUAAUAUUUCAUUGUCUCCGAAAAGAAACGAUUACAUCAUUAUUUAUAGAGUUCCACUUAGAAUCCAUCACGACUUGGACUCUUAAUAAUAAAUAAAUAUUAAAUAAAUUUCUAUCCGAUUCUAACUGAAUUAAACAUACUCAAUAAACAUUAUUCAAAAGUUUAGAAAAUAAAAAGGAUCCUAACAUCGCCCCAGCAACCCAACCGACAUUGACAACCAUUCUAACCCGUACCUCCUCCUCCUCCUCGGAUCCUUCAUCCUUGACCCCCUCCCAACUGACAACAACCCCCUCUUCAUCCUCCUCCUUCUAUGUAAAUUGUUUUAUUAAUAUAGAUUUGAACAAGUAUUAUUUGGUCCUUUAAAUGAUUACCAUGUUUCUUUUUUUGUUUUAGCGAUUAUAUCUAUUAAUCAUGAUAUAUACUUUUAAAAUUUUAAGAAGCAUCUCUCUUCACUUGGGCCAGCGCCUAGCCAAGCACCUAGCAUCUCAGGCGUUUUGACACUUUGGCGUCGUUUAGUGUCUCUCACCCGCGACCACACUGCUAUAGCACAACUUGGUUCACUUGUUUGGUUCCAUUUAAUUAUUCAGACCCAUGCAUGUUGCCACACUUGGUUGAUGUUAGUUUUCAUGCUUGGUCCUUUAUGUGCAUGUUUGAAUUCAUCUGAACCAAAUUGAGCACAUCACAGCUCCACAAAAAAAUCAUUGGAUUUGAGCUGCAUUGGUUAUAUAUGUAUUCUAAAAAUGUUAUGAGAUUCAAGUGAGAUUGUCUUGAUUCAAUUUUAACCUAAACAUGUUUCAGCUGCAUUCCCUCGCAACAAGUUCUAUGCAUAAACUAACCUGUCCAUGAGUCCCUCAUGCAUAAUGUCUGCCUGCAUAUACAUGUUUGAUUGCAUGCCAUUAUCUUAUUGUAUCAAUCUUUUGAUCCUAUUAUUAUUUUUUUUGUUGCUUACCACAUAAGUCGGUUGGUUCUAAAAUGGUUAUGAAUGGCAAAGAAGUUUGUAAUAUGACUUUUGUUUAUCGUUACCUAUUUGUUGCUCAGACAUAAUAAUAUAUGUGCAAUUUAGUUAUCAGAUAGAACCACACACAUGGGAACAUUGCACAUAUUUCUUGUCUGUUUUUGGCUCUUGUGGUAACUUCAUCACAUAAGUGCUGAUUCCGGUGUCUUGCAUUGAACCACAGUAAUGAAUUGCUGGACCUCCUUUCGCAUGUAUUUACUAAUUAUGCAUACAGAAUGCAUUUAUAUAUUUGAUUUUGUGGCUAACGGAUUGUCUAUAUUAAUGGGAUUUGGAGAGGGCAGUUAGGUACUAGAAGCUAUUAGGAGCUGUCACUGUAUCUUCAUGCUAUCCUCUUCACAUCGAAGCUCUCAUUUUUCUUUUUUGUUGUUGUACAUGCCUCUGGAUCGUUCAUCAAUCAAUGUGAUUUUGUAUUUUGCUGUGCUUAGAUUUUAUUUUUCAUUUUUUUCUUCUUUUCAUUUCUUUGCUAUGAGAUGGUAGAUUUGUGCCUUGGCGGUCAUUAUAAACUGUGGUUUCAUUUUACAUUUUGAAACAUUAGUCAUUUUGGCAUCCAAAAUAAUUUUAUGUGACAUUUCAAAUUUCCUAUGACAUCAAUUACUUUGUUUUGUUCUUGAACAUUGGUACAGUGACAUGGUAUAAGUGAUCUUUUAUACAUGCUCAUUUGGUGAUCAUUGUAACUCGUAAAGGAGGUCAUGAAAAUAAUUUUGACUAAUAUUAGUUUAAAUUUACUUUACUUGAUUGUGGCCCAGAUAAUGUAAUCAAAUGUGGUGCUCGGCAUUUGAAAAUUUUCUUAUUAUACAAUAUCUCCAAUGAUGCGUAUUUAGUGACAACUGAAUUAAUUUCUGGCUCUUGGAUAUGAGCUGGUUCAGAACUGACCUUAGAUGGUGAAUUUUUCAAUCUCAGAUGUUCAAUGUUCUGAAAAUGCAUGCAUGUCAUUUACGAGCAUUUACUUUGGAGAAACAGCAAGCAACAACAUGCAAGUUAAAUACUGUUUAUUAAGAUGGACAGCAGGAGAAGUGCUGCUUUUAGAGAUAGAAAAGAGAAUUGGAAAGUUUUUUGACAAAAAAAAAGCUUGGAAAAGAUUGAACAAGAGAUAGCAGAGACUGUAAUUGUGUUACUGGCCAAAGAAAAUUAUAUUCAUUUGUCAAUAGAAUCAUGCAUACGUCUGGUGAUUCCUCAUGUGAAGGAUUUUAUUUAUAAAUAUAUCUGAGAUAGUACUAAUCUGAUUAGGUUUCCCAAAAGAAGCCCUCUAAACAGCAGCUGCUUGCUUUGAUAAAAGUGUUUGGUUCAUCAAACCUCUUAGUUUCCUUAUUAUGCCUACCACCACAAUUUCCUUUUCAAACACACCAAAACAUUUCAACAAUCAUCAAAACCCCAAAUGGUUCAAAGGACUUGACUCUCACUAAAAGUACAAGCUGAGCAAACAAUUAGAAUGUGACUUGAUUUCCAAACCCCAAAGUAGACCCAAAAUUUCAAUGUGUUUGGUUAGGUGUAACCUUACAUCUUUAUGUCGGCAUAGUGUGGUCUCCUCUGCAGGCUGAUAACAACUCUCUUGGCAACUUGAUACAUGUUUGUACCUCAAAAGAUAUUGGUGUUCUUAUAUUUGAAUUACCAUUCCUGUAUUUCUACUAGUAGCAAUAGAAAAAUAUUUGAAUUUUCUUAAUUCAACCACAGAUGUUUUCUUACACAGAAUUCAUUGAUGCAAAGGAUGCAUAUAGCGGAUAUGACUUUUAUUAUUGUUGUGCUUGUUUGCACUUGCUCGUUUUAUUGGCAAAUUCUCACAGAUCUAGGUUAUGUUGGUGAAACUUCUCAGUAAGAAAUAUUUCUUCCUUAUUAAUGACAUCAAGGUAUUUUUAAUACUGUAGCUGAAGCUAUUUGCACGAGCUGUCUUUCUCUAAAAUUAAGUUCCUUUAUCAACAUUGAACCAAAUAAACUAGUAGCCUUUCUUGAUCGAGGCACCUUUCUUACCUCUUGGUUCAUUUUAUGGAAAAUUUGUUGCCUUUCUCAGGUCUUUCAGCUAAGUUGCAAUUUUUUGUCUAGUUGUAUUAACAAUGUCUUUUCUACUUACCAGUCUUUCUAGUUGUAGUAGGAAUUAGUGAUCUCUGAAAGAAAUGGCUAAUGGAAACUGAAUGCAGGUGGGUUAACGUGAGUGGUAGACGAAUGUCCUCUGAUCAGAUGAUUAGUUGAAAGUUUUCAACUUCCUUUUGGUUGGAAGCAGAUACAGAAAAUAUAUUAGUUUGGGUGCCCUUGAUUCGAGGUAGAAGAGGAAGCUGAACAUAGAGCAGGCAGCAAUAAGACUACUUUUCUUGUAUUUUUCUGCAAACAGUACGUGAUACUGCUUCAAAAGAUCAUGUUUUUGGUGCAAAAGAGGCUCUUUCGCUGUCUCCCAAGUAACAAGUCCACUAUCCAUCUUUCCUCCCAUCAACUUUGCAAUCUGUUUAACUUCUCCACUGCUAAAGACCAAAGUUCAGAGCAUAGUUCCAACUUUAUAGUGGUCGACUCCCUUCAUUCAUGUGAACUUUCCUCAGAGAAGGCUGCAAAAAAAGCCAAGUAUCACACCUGUCACAAAAAUUCUUCGAGUCUUUCCAUUGAGUUCUUUAAGCAGAGCGGUUGGAGUGAUGCACAAGUCAUGAAACUUAUCCAGAGGUCACCGCUGUUGCUGCGUACUAAGGUAGAGACUGUCCUGAAGCCCAGAAUGAGAUCUUUGAAGGACAUGGGAUUUUCUGACACUGAAAUAGUUCAGCUGGUUUCUUCAUGUCCAUCUGUACUACUUAUACGUGAUAUCCAACCAAAGAUCAACUUCUGGAGGUCACUACUUUGUUCUAAUGAGAGGUUACUGAAAGCCUCUAGGAGGAACUUGUUUCUACUUACUUCUAGCUUGGCUCGGAAGAUAAAACCUAAUAUAUCUCUCUUAAGGGAAUGUGGCAUCAGUGACAAACUCAUCGCGAAUAUGGUGGUGACAGGGCCAGCCAUUUUGGGUCGAUCAAACAAAUGUAUGAAGGAAGCUAUCAAAUAUGUUGAGGAGUUGGGUGUGCCACGUAACUGUAGAAUGUUCCCUUAUGCACUUAAAAUAGUCGCUGGCAUGAGCCGAUCCAGGUUUGAUGCUACCUUUGCAACCCUGAUGAACUUUGGGUUCUCCCAGUCAGACAUCAUUGAUGUAUUCAGGAAGCAACCAACCGUUUGGGUUUUCUCAAAGAAGAACAUUUGUGACAAGAUGACUUUCCUGAUGAAGGAAGCUGGUUGUGAGCUGACAUAUAUCAUUUCCCAUCCUGCGAUUCUUAUAUACAGCUUGGAGAAGAGGUUGAAACCUCGAUAUGAAAUUCUGAAUUUUCUUGAGCAGAAUAAAUUGCUGGAUAAAGUAAAUGGCCUGAUAACCAUGAUAAUGCUAUCGGAAAAGAAGUUCCGAAAUAAAUUUCUUUUCCUGCUUCGCGAGGAGAAAUAUAUUGCUCUAUAUGAUUCCUAUGUUGCUGCUGUGCAUGGAAAGCGCCAUGUUGUUGUGGAAAAUUAGGAUUGCAAGUGCUUCCUUAGACAAAGUGUGAACCUAUUGCAUACUGACUGUAUUAUUUAAUCAUGUAAAAUUUGUGACAAUUUAAAUUCUCUAAGAGUUACUUCUUACGGUAGAACGUCCAUGUUGAUUUUGAGAUUUCUUUUCUCUUUAUUCUUCGGUACAACAAAAGAUACUGAUUCUUUAAUGCAUAAAUAUAGAGAACCAAGGGGGAGAAGUCAUUAUUUAAGAAAGAAACAAAGGUAACUAAAAUAUUUCAGAUCUGUCGGUUGGUCAGUGUCCACUUCAUUGAGAGCGAGUUAAUUAGGAGAGUAUGAUUUGAAGAUAUCCUCCAACCCUUAUAAAUAUGCAUGUGAUCAACGUGCUCUAUUGUGAGAUUUAUUAUUAUAGUAUCAACUGUCACCUCUCUCUCUGUCUCUCUCUCUCAGCCCGUGACUGCAUGCAUCCCAAUAUUCGUUCUAGUCAUAUCCAGACUCACACAUUAUGAAUUUAAGAGCCAUCGGUCCAACUCAAGCUUGCUUCUUAAUGUUCAAUUUAAUGCACUAAGCAAUAUAUAUGCUUUAAGGUAACAACACUCUCUCGAGUGAAGUGAACGGGCCUCGGCGCCCACCUGAUUCAAAUCAGAGAGGACUAUAUUGGAUCUGAGCCCAACAUAAGUCACUGGAUCUGGUUCGAUGGAACCAAAUGAAGGACUCUCCUCUCUCACACACAACUAUAUCGAUGGCCACGCGUGCAAUGAGAAGACUCGUGGAAACCUAAUCAGCCACCGGCGGCACCGUCUUCCUCUCCAUCGGCGAAUGGCGGCGGCAGCAAUGUCUUCCUCAGCGGGCUCAUCGUUGGUAUCUUUCUCCUCCUCCUCCUCCUCCUUUGCCGUCGCCCACUCUGCCCCAACCGCCUCCCUCCAUCUUCCCGCCCACACAUUCGCCGCCAGCGUCCCCUCUUCUUCGCCUCGUCGUAGCCGUCUUCCCCCUUCCUCCCUGCGCCGGCGUUUUCCCUUCUCCUCCCUACGUCGGCGUCUUCUUUCAUUGUAUCAUCCUUUCACCCCCGCGGCCAGCGUCUUCUCCCCCCUUCGCUUCGCUGCAGCCGCCCCAGCAACCCAACCGACAAAGACAGCCACCUCAACCCACAGCAACCUUCUCCCGUACCUCCUCCUCCCUCUCCUUCUCCUCGGAUCCUUCAUCCUUGCCCCCCUCCCAACUGACAGCAACCCCUUCUUCAUCCUUCUCCUUCUACGUAAAUUGUUUUUUUGAUAUAGAUUUGAACAAGUAUUAUUUGGUCCUUUAAAUGAAUACUAUGUUUCUUUUUUUUGUUUUAGCGAUUACAUCUAUUAAUCAUGAUGUAUACUUUUAAAAUUUUAAGAAGCAUCUCUCUUCACUCGGGCGUGGAAAGAAAUGGCUAAUGGAAACUGAAUGCAGGUGGGCUAACGUGAGUGGUAGACGAAUGUCCUCUGAUCAGAUGAUUAGUUGAAUGUUUUCAACUUCCUUUUGGUUGGAAGCAGAUACAGAAAAUAUAUUAGUUUGGGUGCCCCUGAUUUGAGGUAGAAGAGGAAGCUGAACAUAGAGCAGGCAGCAAUAAGACUACUUUUCUUGUAUUUUUCUGCAAACAGUACGUGAUACUGCUUCAAAAGAUCAUGUUUUUGGUGCAAAAGAGGCUCUUUCGCUGUCUCCCAAGUAACAAGUCCACUAUCCAUCUUUCCUCCCAUCAACUUUGCAGUCUGUUUAACUUCUCCACUGCUAAAGACCAAAGUUCAGAGCAUAGUUCCAACUUUAUUGUGGUCGACUCCCUUCAUUCAUGUGAACUUUCCUCAGAGAAGGCUGCAAAAAACUCCAAGUAUCACACCUGUCACAAAAAUUCUUCGAGUCUUACCAUUGAGUUCUUUAAGCAGAGCGGUUGGAGUGAUGCACAAGUCAUGAAACUUAUCCAGAAGUCACCGCGGUUGCUGCGUACUAAGGUAGAAACUGUCCUGAAGCCCAGAAUGAGAUCUUUGAAGGACAUGGGAUUUUCUGACACUGAAAUAGUUCAGCUAGUUUCAUCAUGUCCAUCUGUACUAAUACGCGAUAUCCAACCGAAGAUCAACUUCUGGAGGUCACUACUUGGUUCUAAUGAGAGGUUACUGAAAGCCUCUAGGAGGAACAUGUUUCUACUUACUUCUAGCUUGGCUCGGAAGAUAGAACCUAAUAUAUCUCUCUUAAGGGAAUGUGGCAUCAGUGACAAACGCAUCGCGUAUAUGGUGGUGACAAAGCCGACCAUUAUUGGUCGAUCAAACAAAUAUAUAAAGGAAGCUAUCAAAUAUGUUGAGGAGUUGGGUGUGCCAUGUAACUGUAGAAUGUUCCCUUAUGCACUUAGUAUAGUCACUGGCAUGAGCCGAUCCAGGUUUGAUGAUACCUUUGCAACCCUGAUGAACUUUGGGUUAUCCCGGCAAGACGUCAUUGCUGUAUUCAGGAAGCAUCCAACCAUUUGGGUUUUGUCAAAGAAGAACAUAUGUGACAAGAUGACUUUCCUGAUGAAGGAAGCUGGUUGUGAGCUGACAUAUAUCGUUUCCCAUCCUGUGUUUCUUGCAUGCAGCUUGGAGAAGAGGUUGAAACCUCGAUAUGAAAUUCUGAAUUUUCUUGAGCAGAAUAAAUUGCUGGAUAAAGUAUAUGGCCUGCUGUCCCUGAUAACGUUAUCUGAAAAGAAGUUCCGUAAGAAAUUUCUUUUCCUGCUUCGUGAGGAGAAAUCUAUUGCUCUGUAUGAUUCCUAUUUGAAAUCUGUUGCUCUAUAGGAUUCCUAUGUUGCUGCUGGGCAUGGAAAGCACCAUGUUGUUUGGGAAAAUUAGGAUUGCAUGUGCUCCCUCAGACAAAGUGUGAACUUAUUGCACACUUAUUUAAUCAUGUUAAAUUUGUGACAAUUUAAAUUCUCCAAGGAGCUUCUUUUUCUUUUGUUCUUUGGUACAACAAAAGAUACGGAUUCUUUUAUGCAGAAAUAUGGAGAAGUCUUUACUCAAGAAAGAUAUAAAGGUAACUAAAAUAUUUCAACUCUGUCAGCUAUCUGUGUCAACUUGGCAUCAGUCAUAUUAAUAAACUUCAUGAUUCUGUUGGAAUAUGUGAAGCUGAUGACAGUGCUGUCAUUUAGAUGAUUGAGAUCUAGUUAAUUAUGAGAGUAUGAAUAAGGACACUUGAAGGUAGCCAUUCCCAAAUGUAUGUAUGACAUUAAAUGUAUUUGAUUUGAAAAUAUCCUCUAACCCUUAUAAAUAGUUGUAGUCAUGAUAUAUGAAAUGUGCAGAGAGAAAUAUAGUUGUGUGAGGACUCUUCUUUGUCAUAAUCCCAUCACCUCUCCACCGUCCCUAAAUUAUAAAUCUCUAUCUAUAUAUGAGCCUCUCUUGUUACAUGUUAUUAAUCUUUGAGUAGUAUAUGAUAGUAGAGUGUGACUUGUUGAAGAUAUCGACUCACUAUGCCAUCCAUAAUAUAUAUUCUAAUACAUGAUUCAUAACCUAUGUUGUACAGUAAGUGGUGUCACUGGUUAUGCUCGCUCAUGAUUUGUAGUACAUAUAUAACUGAUAUAUGAAAAGAAUAAGAAUUUUUUUAAAAAUAAUUUUAAAAUAUUUUUGCCAUCCUUUUGAAGCAUAUCAUGCUUGAGUGAUACCUAUUUUAUCUCACAUAUGCAUGUACAUGUUUAAUGCAUGGUAAAUGAUUCAUAUUCCUAUUGAUACAUUUAUGGAAUCAUCAUGUAUAUGUAGGUGCGUGCUUGAUGCAUGAUCGACAGACAUAUGAGUUAUCUACUUAGGUUGGUAUAGAGAUCAUGGUUAUACCCCCGUAUGAUAGAAGCUUUACGCCCAUCAUGCAAUAUGUAGCACUCAUUGGGUCGAAUACUUAUUUCACUCUGCAAGUAUGAUCUAUUGUCUUGUGAUUAUACGAUUGAUUGAUUCAACUAACAAUAGAAUAAUAUGAUCAUAUAAUGGUAUAGUUAUGUAAUGAUAUGUUACAAAAUGGCAUGCGAGUCUAAUAAGAUAAAAGAAUCUGGAUGAUCCUUAUCAAUUAUAGGAGGGCUACUACAUUAAAGUGCAAUUCUUUUUAGGGAUUAGUAAGUCAUUAGAUGUAGUAAUUAGAUAAUUUUUCUAUCUAUCGUUGGAAAAUGAACUCAGUCCAUCGGAAUAAUACCUUUCUAUCUAUCGUUGGAGUGCACUAUCGGAUAUUCGGCUAUAUAAAGAUGAUUAUUAUAAUAUGCUUAGAUGGUUAAAUUUUAUGUAUACUAUGGUACAUCAUGCGAUAAUUAUGAGACUUAUUAUGUAGUUUAUUUUUAUUCGUUUAUCGAAAGAAGUAUCCAUCAAUGACAAAUAUGGAUGAAGUACAUAGAUAUGACUAACUAUAUUUGUCGAUAAUAUCAUAUGCAUUUUGUGAUGUGAAUAUGAACAUUAAUUAAUCAAAUGAUUUUAUAUUUUUAUUUAUUAUUCUCUAACUUGUAUAUUAUAUACAUAGUUAAUUCAUUAUGAAAAUGUUGUUAUUAUCUUUUCUCGAACACUAUUGCCUAAGAGCAUGUGUUUAUCCAAAACUAUUUUUACAGAUUUCAGUAAAAAAUAUUUAAAAAUAGUAUGUUGAUAGUUUCAAAGUUAACAAGCAAACAAAGUCGUUAUCGGGGGAGUGAGAUUAUAUUGAAACAAUAAAUAUAAACAACUCUGUGUAAUAAAUUCAUUUAUAAUAAGGAGUUAUUUGUAAGAUAAAAAAAAUAUUAAAUUGUUUUUUUAUUUUUCGAUAGAAAAGACUUCAUCUUUCUGGUUAGGUUAAUUUUGUGAGCGAAGACGGCCGUGUUGUUGUCUACUCGUUCGGCCGCUCUCAUUCGCCAUCGAUUUGGUCUCCAACUCGCGGCCCAAAACCCCGAGCCUCCCCGCGUUCCCUUACAAUCUCGCUUCUCGGAAGAGCAACGGCAGCCAGGCGGCGGAUGACUACCAUGCUGCGAGAGUUGCGGCUGUCGCUGAACCAAACCCAGCGGGUGCGCCUUCAAUCCGCUCUCCAGCGGCUCCAGGACAUGGCUUCCCUCGCCUCCGCCGUUACCGUCGUCGCCGACACCAUCCCCGUCAACCACGAAGACAGCAUCCUUAAGUGUGUGCGCUUUCUGACCCAUAAGAACCUUCGUUCUCUCUCUCUCUCUUCCUCCUCCAUCUUCUUCUUGGUUUUCUCCACAUCCUCCUCUCUCCUUGCGAACUGUUUUAAUCAUCUCCUUCGUCCUUCUUUUCCAUGUUUCGGUGAAGAUUUGCAGUCAUUUUGUCUUCUGUUAAUGGUCUUUUUGUUGCGGUCGUCCCUAUUUAUCUUACGCUUUCCUCCUAUCUCAUGGUUGCUCCUGAAUUCGUGUGAUGGUCAGGGGCCAUGGGACGUCCGAUCUCAACGGCGAAGUAGUGGCCACUCUCUGUGGUGUGGUUGAGCGAGUAAACAAACUGGUGUAUGUCCGUGCUCAGAGAGCCAGGUACUGAUACUGUGCCUUCCUCUUCUCCUAAUUUUGCACUAUUUCUGUUCUUGAUGUUGUAAUCCUUUAUGCUUGUUAAAUGUUCUGUUUAGUUGGUCAAGAAUCAUCAUGCUGCAUGACUUAGUCGAUUGUAUCCGUAUAUUUUCUUAAUUCUCUUUUGUACUAAUUUGCAAAAAAUCCUUGAUUCAUAGACACCCAGGUCAAGUGCGUCAACUACAAUAAGAUUCUUUGUUUUUCCAAUACUCCACUUAUCAACCGCAUUGAUUUCUUUUAGCAGAAGAAUUUGUUGUAACUAAAGUGCUGUAUUGUCUCUCAGUGAGGACAUCUGUUUAGUGACUAGAUGAUGCUGUCUUUCUUCCUCAUAUGAUAUGUUUGAUUUGUUGUUUCAUGACUUACAAAUGAAAAUUUAUUUUCCUUGUAGGUACAAACCAGAGGUUGGAGAUAUAAUCGUCGGCCGAGUCAUUGAGGUCUUGUUGCUUUAUGAUAAAUCUAUAUAUACAUUUCUUUUUGCUAUCACAUAAAAUAUAUAAACAAUUUAUCAUUAUCUGAAUUAUAAUAAGACAAAAAAAAAUCUUAUUUAAGAUGGUUAUCAGUGGAUAUUUGACUAUCAUAAAAUUAUAAUAUAUGUGCAGUCAGCAGUAAAUCGUCAAUUGACUUAGCAACAUGUCUUGUAAUAUUUCCUCUUUUCAUUUUCAUCUGUUAUUUUGUUAAAUGAUUCUACAUUGUGUCUUGUAGAUUGCUCCAAAACGCUGGAGAUUAGAGAUAAAUUUUAGUCAAGAUGCAGUAUUGAUGCUUUCGUCAAUGAAUCUUCCAGAUGGUAUUCAGGUGAGAUCAAAUUCUUGUCUCCUCUUCAAGCUCUGAGCUCUUCAUAUAUUGGAGAACAGAGGUUCUUAUUUUUAUAUUUAUUAUAUUGUGUCAGGUUAUCACUACAUAACCAAUUAUAAACAAUUCAGAAGUUCUCGCAUCUUGUAUAACAUGGAUUUUAUAAUAGAGCUACUGUUGGUGCAUGCUAAAAGAACUGUUUGUUGUACCUAUGUUAGUAAUUUCAUCAAGAAAGUAAUGUGCAUCUGACUGCAGAAUAUCUGGGUGAGGAGCACCAAAAAUUUCCCAAUGUGGUAUCUGACUCUAGAUGAUAAAAUGAUUAUCUAUAAAGCACCUGCAGCAUAUCUAUAUUUGAAUGGUUUACUGUAACUUAUCAUUGUUCUUGGACAACAUGGAAAGCACAGUGAUGAAUCUGUAAACCAAUAAAAAGUACGGGAAGUGAUGCCUUGCUGAUUAGGAUUUUUUUUUGGGAAUUUGAUUUGUUGUAUAAUGCAUAGUCCUGAUAUUUGAAAUCUAAUAAACAUCUUUAGGUGAAGUAGAGACAAAAUAUUUAUAUAUGUCUUUACUUAAUGCUACAAUAUGAUUUAUAUUUUUUGACAAUGAAAAUUGAACUGUAUAUUUGCUGCCACAAUAACUGUACACAUGCAUGCUUAUUGUUGAAUCUGUAUUUAUUGUACAAUCUUGUGUUAGGCAGCUGAUAGCUAGUGUAAGACUUACCUCCUUAGGCUUGGGGCCUUAACUCUUUUUUUUAUUGUUGUUAAUGUUUCUUGACACUAUCAUGUAAUGUCAUGGUGGCAUCAGUUAAAUAACUUCAUAGCAACAUUAACAAUGAACACAUUAAUGAAGGGA
This 15475-nucleotide long non-coding RNA is filed under the name Musa acuminata (dwarf banana). RNAcentral describes it as "long non-coding RNA (MACU_LNC006298)". The record is from RNAcentral. Lineage: Eukaryota; Viridiplantae; Streptophyta; Magnoliopsida; Zingiberales; Musaceae.